Gadus macrocephalus (Pacific cod) is the source of this 1242-nucleotide long non-coding RNA. RefSeq lists it as uncharacterized. NCBI's taxonomy places the organism in Eukaryota, Metazoa, Chordata, Actinopteri, Gadiformes, Gadidae. The transcript is spliced from 2 exons. The record is from RefSeq and is a predicted model, not a curated record.
CGGGACAGACCACAGAUCGCCUCCCAAACAUCUACGUUUAGUCAGGAGCCGUUGAGCAGAUGCUUUCAUCCAAAGCUCUGAACCAACCAUAAACUGUAUGAAAUCACAUUUACAUUUAGUCAUUCAGUAGACACUUCAUUUGAAAAAUUAACAAUAAACACGCACUAUUACAUAAAGUCAAGUGCACAAGGGAUAAACCAUCUGUGAUGCAGACUGGCCAACUCCAUGCACCUUCAAAACAACUACAAUAAUUAAAAAUUGAAGUAUGCAAGUUCAAAAAACUGUAAGACCCAAGUGGUCGUUUGAAAGCUAGUAGUCAGAUUCAAGUAGAAGGUUGUAUUUUUCAAUUGUUAGAGAACAAUUCAACCAUGUAGGUUCUCAAUUCAGCACAAUAAAGGUUUUCGCAUCUGUGUGAAGGUUAAAUGUUUCAUAAGUGACUGGGUGUGAGUUGCUGUGUUGAUUGCCUGGUCAGGUAGCAGCUGGGGAUUGUCGUGGCCAGGGUGCAGCUUAGUUGAGUGUUAUUCUGGAUACAUAAAUGUAUUUCAACCACAUUUGUUUUGGUUGUUUAUUAUCACAUCUGGCUCCAGGGCAGUGUAGUGCUCAAAGGUACUUGGUUCGAUCCCCGAUGGCUUACCUGUAGUCAUCCUUGAGGCAACCUAACCCAUACCUGUUCUUUAAUAACAUGUCUGAAUUCAUUGGAGGUGCCUUUGAAUAAAAGUGCCUGCUAAAUGAGAACAGACUGGAUCUUAUAAUGUAUGAUUUGUUAAGUGUUGCUGUGUCUUGUAUUUAUAGUGAUCAGCAGUUCUGAUCACUAUCAGUUCCUGCCAGGUUACACUGCAGACGCCAGACAGUGAGUCAGUGUUGAGGCUGGACUAACUUAAAUCAACAAGAACAAGAAGGAUGAACAGGAUACACAGAUGAAGCGGUUCCUCCAUGUCGCUAAUCAAGAAUCAAUCAUUCCCCUGUCAAUCUGUAGCAGCACCUGGGCAUACUGGGUGCGGUGUAAUAAGGAUUAGGCUGUGUGAUCGAUCUAAAUUGUGUGAUUGUUGGAUGGAAAAAAUAGACAUAGUCCGAUACGUAGAGACGAGGACAGAUAUAAUAUAUAUAUAUAUAUAUAUAUACAUAGAGAGAGAGAGAGAGAGAGAGAGAGAGAGAGAGAGAGAGAGAGAGAGAGAGAGAGAGAGAGAGAGAGAGAGAGAGAGAGAGUUUGAGGGAGGGAGAGAGAGAGAGAGAGAGUAUGUA